GUAACCCAGGCCGGGCUCAAACUUGUGAUCCUCCUACCUUUGCCUGGGAUAAUAUGUGUGCAGCCCCAUGCCCAGCUCACAUGGCUUUUAAAGCAAGUGUGCAGUAUCCACCGUCAGACGAGGAGGCUUCACAGGGUCACUGGUGGUGUGGAAGGAACCAGACUUAAGAAUGGAAGGAAGGCAAACCCCUUCUGUGAGUCUCCACCGUGCUUGCAACUAGCUGCAGUCAAAAACCUGCUUCCUCAUCUGCUGAGCUUGGAACCAAGCCAAGACCUCAUGCCCUACCUCAGGGCGGUGAGCACUGCAGCCAAGCCCAGCGCCUCAGCUGGGAACCCUCGCUUCCUAUUCAUGGCUUGGGCAGCACCUGAAAGGAACAUUACUUCACCAAGCAGCCAGCCUGGGCUCUCUGUGGGAAAUUUCACACACGCAGGCACGCACUCACUCUGCACCAGAGAACACGCAUAGCUUUUUGGCACAAAUGUGAACCUUAAGUCGCUCCUGCCUCUUAAAUGCACUGCAUCUUUCUCUCAUGUGCAGCGCUACUUGUAAGACCAACAGCUGUUUUUCUGAUGAUUCCUGCCCAUUUGGGAGAUUUAACUCUAUGGCCUCCUUCUGCCCUUUGCCGGCCUCCAUGACAGCUGAAGAGCAGAGCCUUGCAAUUACGAGGCCCUGAGCAGAUUCGCAAGGGCAGAAAGUGCAUGCUGUGGGGCUUCCAUCACCAAAACAAGGCCUCGCCAUGAGUUCAGGUACAUUUUUCUCAACUUUUUUUUUUUUGAAGGUACUAAUGAUUGAACUCGGCCUUUGUAUUCUGCUACAUCCCCAGUCCCUUUUUUUUUUUGGUUGAGAGGCGUCUCCCUAAGUCAUUACAUGGUCCAGGCUGGGCACGAACUUGGGUUCCUAUUUCAGCCCCUCCAGAGUACUGGGAUUCCAAGCGUGUGAGUCACCACCAUCCCAGCUUUCAGCCAACUCGCCUCAAUUCUCUUACUUAGAGCUCAUCUAUGUCACUGAGUGGUGAUGCCGAGUCACGUGGGGUUAGAAACCAGUGCCAGCAUGCUGACACCGUGGCUACUGCUAUUUCUGGUAGUAACAGACUGUUCUCUGACUCAGGAGUCUCAUGUCUUCUACCAGCAUCUGUGAAACUGGUAGGUCAACUGCUUCUCCCACCCACAAGUCAGAUAUGGAGCAGCCUGGGAGCCCCUUGAGCACAGCAGCUCUAGGACCUGCUCAGACAGCAGGGUGACAGUGGCAGUGGUGGCCAGCAAUGCUGUCCUCCAGGCUUCUGCUCAAACGUCAUCUUGCCAGAGUGGUCUCCCCUGGCCAUCCCAUCCCCCAGGACAUCUGUGCCUUUGGAGGCUGUCACCUCUGUGCCUUUAUCUUGAUUUUCUGUCCUUCACACUUAUACCAUGUGUCAUUUCCUGUAUUUAUUUGUUGUCUGCAUUCCCCUACAUGACUGCAGAUUCUGUCCAAGAAGGGGAUUCAGUUUGUAGCUAUGAUACUGCCACUAAGGACAGUGCCCUGCACAGGAGGUGAGGCUGUCAGACCAGAAAGUUCUCUGGGUCCCUUCCAAGUCCUCUCACCCAGGUAACCACUGUUCUGAUGUCUAGGAUUAUCUUUGCUGAUUCCUGAACUUCAUAUAAAUAGGAUGUGUUCAUAUGAACAUACUGAGCGGAUGUGCUUGUCUGUGUCUUUGCAUUGCUGUGUGUCUCAGGAGCAGCUUGCUCUUCUUUUAUAGCUGUAAUAUUCCACUCAUGGAUAUAUCUCCAUUUAUGGGUAUACCAUACUUUGUUUACAAUUCUUCUGUUGAUGAGCAUUUGUGUGGUUUGGAAUAAAGUUGCAAUGAAUUUUGUUAUUGUUUUUGCAGUACUGGGUAUUGAACCCAGAGCCUUCUCAUUGAGUUAUAUCUCCAGGCCCUUUUAACUUUUGGAUAUUGAGACACUCUCACUAAAUCAUUGUUAUGGCUAUCUAGAUGUCUCACCAAAGCCUCUUGUGAUCAUAGGUGGGGCUUUCCA
Molecule: long non-coding RNA, 2009 nt
Filed under: Fukomys damarensis (Damara mole-rat)
Lineage: Eukaryota; Metazoa; Chordata; Mammalia; Rodentia; Bathyergidae
Description: lncRNA (ENSFDAG00000022534.1)
Source: RNAcentral